CGCCGGACCUGACUGCUAUCGGAUUGAUACUAAGCCAUGCGAGUCUUUGCGGUAAUGCAAGGCGGACUGCUCAGUAACACGUAGUCAACUUAACCUAUGGAUGGGUAUAACCUCGGGAAACUGAGAAUAAUUCCCAAUAGAUCAUUUAUCCUGGAAUGGUUAGUGAUUGAAAUGAUUCGUCGCCAUAGGAUAGGACUGCGGCCUAUCAGCUUGUUGGUGAGGUAAAGGCCCACCAAGGCUAUUACAGGUACGGGCUCUGAGAGAAGAAGCCCGGAGAUGGGUACUGAGACACGGACCCAGGCCCUAUGGGGCGCAGCAGGCGAGAAAACUUUGCAAUGUGCGAAAGCACGACAAGGUUAAUCCGAGUGAUUUCUGCUAAAGAAAUCUUUUGCCAGUUCUAAAAAUACUGGUGAAUAAGGGGUGGGCAAGUUCUGGUGCCAGCAGCCGCGGUAAU
Molecule: ribosomal RNA, 454 nt
Filed under: uncultured archaeon
Lineage: Archaea
Description: bacterial SSU rRNA
Rfam family: Archaeal small subunit ribosomal RNA
Source: RNAcentral